GAUGAACGCUGGCGGCGUGCCUAAUACAUGCAAGUCGAGCGAACGGACGAGAAGCUUGCUUCUCUGAUGUUAGCGGCGGACGGGUGAGUAACACGUGGAUAACCUACCUAUAAGACUGGGAUAACUUCGGGAAACCGGAGCUAAUACCGGAUGAUACUUUGAACCGCAUGGUUCAAAAGUGAAAGACGGUCUUGCUGUCACUUAUAGAUGGAUCCGCGCUGCAUUAGCUAGUUGGUAAGGUAACGGCUUACCAAGGCAACGAUGCAUAGCCGACCUGAGAGGGUGAUCGGCCACACUGGAACUGAGACACGGUCCAGACUCCUAAGGGAGGCAGCAGUAGGGAAUCUUCCGCAAUGGGCGAAAGCCUGACGGAGCAACGCCGCGUGAGUGAUGAAGGUCUUCGGAUCGUAAAACUCUGUUAUUAGGGAAGAACAUAUGUGUAAGUAACUGUGCACAUCUUGACGGUACCUAAUCAGAAAGCCACGGCUAACUACGUG
This 497-nucleotide ribosomal RNA is filed under the name uncultured bacterium. Its description in RNAcentral is "partial 16S ribosomal RNA". It matches the Rfam family "Bacterial small subunit ribosomal RNA", at positions 28 to 507 of the family's 1533-position model. The record is from RNAcentral.